CCAUCCCCCUAGUUAUGGUAGAUCCACAGCGUUCGGUGUCUUGGUCUAGUAGAACCAGACAUUGGCCAAUACUGUGCAAUGGCUCCAACAGAGCCCCAGAUUAGCCCCCCAGUGGCAGGGGCAAAAGACCAAACAGAAUGGGUGAAGAGAGUGAAUAAGGGACGUUAUUGAUCUUUGAGGAGCUCAGACUCUCCAUGAUGAUGCUGUCAUCAUAACAAUGACGAUAGCAAAUAAAGCUUCGACGGGACCUCCAUUCCUUGGGUAUGGAAUGCC
Molecule: long non-coding RNA, 273 nt
Filed under: Elaeis guineensis (African oil palm)
Lineage: Eukaryota; Viridiplantae; Streptophyta; Magnoliopsida; Arecales; Arecaceae
Description: long non-coding RNA (EGUI_LNC062843)
Source: RNAcentral